Molecule: ribosomal RNA, 464 nt
Filed under: uncultured Paraglomus
Lineage: Eukaryota; Fungi; Glomeromycota; Glomeromycetes; Paraglomerales; Paraglomeraceae
Description: SSU rRNA
Rfam family: Eukaryotic small subunit ribosomal RNA
Source: RNAcentral
AGCAGCCGCGGUAAUUCCAGCUCCAAUAGCGUAUAUUAAAGUUGUUGCAGUUAAAAAGCUCGUAGUUGAAUUUCAGGCCUGGCUGGACGGUCCGCCCUUCGGGUGAGUACUGUCUGUGGUCGGGUCCUACCUUCUGGCGAAGCGUCAUGGCCUUAACCGGCCGUGGCGGGGAACCAGGACUUUUACUGUGAAAAAAUUAGAGUGUUCAAAGCAGGCAAAUCGCUUGGAUACAUUAGCAUGGAAUAAUGGAAUAGGACGAUGGUUCUAUUUGUUGGUUUCUAGGACCGUUGUAAUGAUUAAUAGGGAUAGUUGGGGGCAUUAGUAUUCAAUUGUCAGAGGUGAAAUUCUUGGAUUUAUUGAAGACUAACUACGCGAAAGCAUCUGCCAAGGAUGUUUUUCAUAAUCAAGAACGAAAGUUAGGGGAUCGAAACGAUCAGAUACCGUCGUAGUCUUAACCAUAAACU